GGAAUUAAGUGUUUUGUUCUUGUCUCUGUUUAAGUUUCUUGUGUUAUCUUUGUUGUAUGUUUCAUCUUCUUGUUAUGUUUAUGUUUUAUGUUGGUGUUCUGUUCCGGUUACAUUUAAGUGGAAGCAUUGUUGUUCUUGUGUUAUGUUGGUGUUCUGUUAUGGUUACAUUUAUGUUGGUGUUCUGUUUCGGUUACAUUUAACAAACCUUAAUUUCAUUGUUGUUCUUGGGUAUGUGUUGUCUUUGGUUUCAGGCGGCUCAGUGUAGUUUGAUGAAUCACAGAGUGGAGCAUUGGGUUGUAUGCAUGACUUCCUCUUGCCUUGUCUUCUUGUGUCACGGAAAUGUUAAUGACUUCCUCGUGCCUUGUCUUCUUGUGUCACAGAAGUGGAAGUGGUCUACUGGUCUUCUAUUAUUGUGUUUGGUCCCGUCUUGUAACAUGUCUUGUUGGGUUUGUUGUUUUCUUGUAUCACGGAUGUGGUGUUGGGUUUAUUGUUUGCUUCUCAAAUCUUUAUAAUACUAUGA
This 520-nucleotide long non-coding RNA is filed under the name Brassica napus (rape). RNAcentral describes it as "long non-coding RNA (BNAP_LNC018601)". Lineage: Eukaryota; Viridiplantae; Streptophyta; Magnoliopsida; Brassicales; Brassicaceae. The record is from RNAcentral.